RNAcentral lists this long non-coding RNA (445 nucleotides) under Nicotiana benthamiana. RNAcentral's name for it is "long non-coding RNA (NBEN_LNC002248)". The record is from RNAcentral. Lineage: Eukaryota; Viridiplantae; Streptophyta; Magnoliopsida; Solanales; Solanaceae.
CGUAGUUGAACCUUAGUAAUUUUUUAAGUCGAAGGCACGUAGCCUGAGUCCAUGUUCAACCGUAGUUGAGCCUUAGUAAUUUUUGAAGUCGAAGGCGUGCAGCCUGAGUCUCGUUCAACCGUAGUUGAGCCUUAGUAAUUUUUGUAGUUGAAGGCGCAUAGCGUGAGUUCUGGUUAAACCGUAUUUGAACCUUAGUAAUUUUUGAAGUCAAAGGCGCGUAGCCUGAGACCCGGUUCAACCGUAGUUGAAUCUUAGUAAUUUCUGAAGUCGAAGGCGCGUAUCCUGAGUCCCGGUUCAACCGUAGUUGAACCUUAGUAAUUUUUGAAGUCGAAGGCGCGUAGCCUGAGUCCCGUUCAAUCUUAGUUGAGCCUUAGUAAUUUUAGAAGUUGAAGGCGCGUAGCGUGAAUCCUGGUUCAACCGUAGUUGAACCUUAGUAAUUUUUGAA